The sequence is a regulatory RNA element, 95 nucleotides long. It matches the Rfam family "mraW RNA". The record is from Rfam.
CCGACUCGGUGGCUCGUGGCCUCCAGCCGCUUUCCCGACGCGACUUCCCCCGCGCCGGGCCGCGGAUGGGGACCAGGAGCCAUCGCUUGUCCCGA